This 482-nucleotide ribosomal RNA is filed under the name uncultured bacterium. RNAcentral describes it as "partial 16S ribosomal RNA". It matches the Rfam family "Bacterial small subunit ribosomal RNA", at positions 30 to 507 of the family's 1533-position model. The record is from RNAcentral.
AUUGAACGCUGGCGGCAUGCUUUACACAUGCAAGUCGAACGGUAACAGCACUUCGGUGGCUGACGAGUGGCGAACGGGUGAGUAAUACAUCGGAACGUGCCUAGUAGUGGGGGAUAACUACUCGAAAGAGUAGCUAAUACCGCAUGAGAUCUAAGGAUGAAAGCAGGGGACCUUCGGGCCUUGCGCUACUAGAGCGGCUGAUGGCAGAUUAGGUAGUUGGUGGGAUAAAAGCUUACCAAGCCGACGAUCUGUAGCUGGUCUGAGAGGACGACCAGCCACACUGGGACUGAGACACGGCCCAGACUCCUACGGGAGGCAGCAGUGGGGAAUUAUGGACAAUGGGCGCAAGCCUGAUCCAGCAAUGCCGCGUGCAGGAUGAAGGCCUUCGGGUUGUAAACUGCUUUUGUACGGAACGAAAAGCCCUCUUCUAAUACAGGAGGGUCAUGACGGUACCGUAAGAAUAAGCACCGGCUAACUACGUG